AACAGGAUUAGAUACCCUGGUAGUCCACGCCGUAAACGAUGUCGAUUUGGAGGUUGUGCCCUUGAGGCGUGGCUUCCGGAGCUAACGCGUUAAAUCGACCGCCUGGGGAGUACGGCCGCAAGGUUAAAACUCAAAUGAAUUGACGGGGGCCCGCACAAGCGGUGGAGCAUGUGGUUUAAUUCGAUGCAACGCGAAGAACCUUACCUGGUCUUGACAUCCACAGAACUUUCCAGAGAUGGAUUGGUGCCUUCGGGAACUGUGAGACAGGUGCUGCAUGGCUGUCGUCAGCUCGUGUUGUGAAAUGUUGGGUUAAGUCCCGCAACGAGCGCAACCCUUAUCCUUUGUUGCCAGCGGUUAGGCCGGGAACUCAAAGGAGACUGCCAGUGAUAAACUGGAGGAAGGUGGGGAUGACGUCAAGUCAUCAUGCCCUUACGACCAGGGCUACACACGUGCUACAAUGGCAUAUACAAAGAGAAGCGACCUCGCGAGAGCAAGCGGACCUCAUAAAGUAUGUCGUAGUCCGGAUUGGAGUCUGCAACUCGACUCCAUGAAGUCGGAAUCGCUAGUAAUCGUAGAUCAGAAUGCUACGGUGAAUACGUUCCCGGGCCUUGUACACACCGCCCGUCACACCAUGGGAGUGGGUUGCAAAAGAAGUAGGUAGCUUAACCUUCGGGAGGGCGCUUACCACUUUGUGAUUCAUGACUGGG
Molecule: ribosomal RNA, 707 nt
Filed under: Klebsiella pneumoniae
Lineage: Bacteria; Pseudomonadati; Pseudomonadota; Gammaproteobacteria; Enterobacterales; Enterobacteriaceae
Description: bacterial SSU rRNA
Rfam family: Bacterial small subunit ribosomal RNA
Source: RNAcentral